Molecule: ribosomal RNA, 1217 nt
Filed under: Carassius auratus (goldfish)
Lineage: Eukaryota; Metazoa; Chordata; Actinopteri; Cypriniformes; Cyprinidae
Description: partial 16S ribosomal RNA
Rfam family: Bacterial large subunit ribosomal RNA
Source: RNAcentral
GACCUUUAGUUUGAAACCCCGAAACCAGGUGAGCUACCCCGAGACAGCCUAUUGAGGGCCAACCCGUCUCUGUGGCAAAAGAGUGGGAAGAGCUCCGGGUAGAAGUGACAGACCUACCGAACCUGGUGAUAGCUGGUUGCCUAAGAAAUGGAUAGAAGUUCAGCCUCGUACUCCCCAAAUCAAGUAAACAUUAGCAAGACAGCAAGAGAAAUACACGAGAGUUAGUUAAAGGGGGUACAGCCCCUUUGACAAAGGAUACAACCUUUCUAGGAGGAUAAAGAUCAUAAUACAUAAAACAUACUGUUCUAGUGGGCCUAAAAGCAGCCACCUAAAUAGAAAGCGUUAAAGCUCAGACAGACAGAAGUUUAUUAUCCUGAUAAUAUAUCUCACUCCCCUAAAUACUAUUAGGCCAACCCAUGCCCACAUGGAAGAGAUUAUGCUAAAAUGAGUAACAAGAAGGCCCGCCCUUCUCCAAGCACAAGUGUAAGCCAAAUCGGACUAGCCAUUGGCAACUAACGAACUCAACCCAAGAGAGCAAUGUGGUAUUACAAAAAAACCUAGAAAAACCCACAACCUAAAUAUCGUUACCCCCACACUGGAGUGCAACAAAGGAAAGACUAAAAGAAAAGGAAGGAACUCGGCAAACACAAGCCUCGCCUGUUUACCAAAAACAUCGCCUCCUGCAACACAACCAAGUAUAGGAGGUCCAGCCUGCCCAGUGACUACAAGUUCAACGGCCGCGGUAUUUUGACCGUGCAAAGGUAGCGCAAUCACUUGUCUUUUAAAUAGAGACCUGUAUGAAUGGCUAAACGAGGGCUUAACUGUCUCCCCUUUCCAGUCAGUGAAAUUGAUCUACCCGUGCAGAAGCGGGUAUAAUAAUACAAGACGAGAAGACCCUUUGGAGCUUAAGGUACAAAACUCAACCACGUUAAGCAACUCAAUAAAAAAUGAAAACUUUGUGGAAUAUGAGAUUUUACCUUCGGUUGGGGCGACCACGGAGGAAAAAAAAGCCUCCAGGUGGACCGGGAGAAUUUCCUAAAACUAAGAGAGACAUCUCUAAGCCACAGAACAUCUGACCAAAUAUGAUCCGGCUAAUACAAGCCGAUCAACGAACCAAGUUACCCUAGGGAUAACAGCGCAAUCCUCUCCCAGAGUCCAUAUCGACGAGGGGGUUUACGACCUCGAUGUUGGAUCAGGACAUCCUAAUGGUGCAGCCG